UACGAAGGGGGCUAGCGUUGCUCGGAAUCACUGGGCGUAAAGGGUGCGUAGGCGGGUCUUUAAGUCAGGGGUGAAAUCCUGGAGCUCAACUCCAGAACUGCCUUUGAUACUGAGAAGCUUGAGUCCGGGAGAGGUGAGUGGAACUGCGAGUGUAGAGGUGAAAUUCGUAGAUAUUCGCAAGAACACCAGUGGCGAAGGCGGCUAACUGGUCCGGUUCUGACGCUGAGGCGCGAAAGCGUGGGGAGCAAACAGG
This 253-nucleotide ribosomal RNA is filed under the name uncultured bacterium. RNAcentral describes it as "partial 16S ribosomal RNA". It matches the Rfam family "Bacterial small subunit ribosomal RNA", at positions 524 to 776 of the family's 1533-position model. The record is from RNAcentral.